This 301-nucleotide ribosomal RNA is filed under the name uncultured bacterium. RNAcentral describes it as "partial 16S ribosomal RNA". It matches the Rfam family "Bacterial small subunit ribosomal RNA", at positions 509 to 808 of the family's 1533-position model. The record is from RNAcentral.
CAGUCGCCGCGGGAAUACGUAGGUCCCGAGCGUUGUCCGGAUUUAUUGGGCGUAAAGCGAGCGCAGGCGGUUUGAUAAGUCUGAAGUUAAAGGCUGUGGCUCAACCAUAGUUCGCUUUGGAAACUGUCAAACUUGAGUGCAGAAGGGGAGAGUGGAAUUCCAUGUGUAGCGGUGAAAUGCGUAGAUAUAUGGAGGAACACCGGUGGCGAAAGCGGCUCUCUGGUCUGUAACUGACGCUGAGGCUCGAAAGCGUGGGGAGCGAACAGGAUUAGAUACCCCCGUAGUCCCUGUCUCUUAUACC